GACGAACGCUGGCGGCGUGCCUAAUACAUGCAAGUAGAACGCACAGUUUAUACCGUAGCUUGCUACACCAUAGACUGUGAGUUGCGAACGGGUGAGUAACGCGUAGGUAACCUGCCUGGUAGCGGGGGAUAACUAUUGGAAACGAUAGCUAAUACCGCAUAAUAUUAAUUAUUGCAUGAUAAUUAAUUGAAAGGUGCAAUUGCACCACUACCAGAUGGACCUGCGUUGUAUUAGCUAGUAGGUGAGGUAACGGCUCACCUAGGCGACGAUACAUAGCCGACCUGAGAGGGUGAUCAGCCACACUGGGACUGAGACACGGCCCAGACUCCUACGGGAGGCAGCAGUAGGGAAUCUUCGGCAAUGGACGAAAGUCUGACCGAGCAACGCCGCGUGAGUGAAGAAGGUUUUCGGAUCGUAAAGCUCUGUUGUAAGAGAAGAACGGGUGUGAGAGUGGAAAGUUCACACUGUGACGGUAUCUUACCAGAAAGGGACGGCUAACUACGUG
This 505-nucleotide ribosomal RNA is filed under the name uncultured bacterium. Its description in RNAcentral is "partial 16S ribosomal RNA". It matches the Rfam family "Bacterial small subunit ribosomal RNA", at positions 28 to 507 of the family's 1533-position model. The record is from RNAcentral.